CUACAAUCCAAAUAUUAUAGAGCCACAAUAAGCCUGAUAAACAAGCAAAGAAACUAAAUGAGGUCCAAGCACAAAUCAUAAUUCAACCCCAUGACCUAAAACAUAGAUUCCUACAAACCCAAUACAACAUCAGCCCAAGCCUAGCAACCAACCCUAGUAAGGCAGCAACCAGGAGGCAGCCAUUAGGAAGGACCCCAACAUCAAAGCCAAUCACUAGAUCUAACUGUCAAGGAAGAACAAUGGCCAUGUAAGCUAAGUUUGAACAAAGAUGAGUGAACUGGAGCAGAAAAACAACUCAGUUGAAACUCACAGUAACCAUGGAGAUGCCGGGGAUGCAGCAGAGAGAAAGAGGGCUAUGAAGAGCUCUUCAGCAUUUUCUCAGCCAUAGAGUCGGGCAGUUUUUAGUGGGUAAAGACCCCAGAGAAAGCCAAAGACAUAAAUUCUCUGCACACUCAACCAAUCAGAUCAAUCCUCGUCUAGACAGCUUCCAUGGUACACAGAGGUCCCUAAAGACAGGUCCCUUUGACAUUACACCGACCUGCAAC
RNAcentral lists this unclassified non-coding RNA (545 nucleotides) under Hevea brasiliensis (rubber tree). The record is from RNAcentral. Lineage: Eukaryota; Viridiplantae; Streptophyta; Magnoliopsida; Malpighiales; Euphorbiaceae.